UGACCAGCCAAACCAUCUCGGUCAAAACGUCUCGAUUGAAAAGCAACUUGUAUGGCUUACUUGGGCAUUAAACAAGCCUCCAUCUACUCUAUGUAAGGCCAGGCCAUAGGACAACAAGCCUCCGUUCUCCUGACAGUCUUGGCCAGUAAUUCUCGCUGUUUUGCCUGCAGAAAGGAGAGGGAAGAUAGCGGUGUCCUACCCGCUGGGACUAAGGUAGCCCAUUCUCUUAAAAAAACAAAAAGAAAAGAAAAAGAAAAGACCCUUUUACUUCGCCUAGGGUUUCUUCUAUCCUUAGCGGCUCUCUUACCACUUUUCGUCCUUUCUCAGCUGUCUCUUAGAUGAGGAGUCUGUGCCUGAAGAACUACACGGGUAGCUGCAUCAAGCCAUUCAUGGAUCGGGAGGAAAUUCCCCUACCGCUUUUUGUCCUGGCAGCCUUGGGUUUGAUUAUUACGGUUUCAUCAGUGGCGAAAUGAAAACACCCCGUUGAUCUAGGCUUCCUGGCCCAUGAUUCACUUGUAUGGGUGAUUGGGAGAGAUGGAGGUGGAAUGUGGAGGGCGCAUCCUCAACGAAAUCCUCUCUCUGCCUCAGUGGGCGGAUUGUUCUUCUUGGAC
RNAcentral lists this small RNA (611 nucleotides) under Histoplasma ohiense. RNAcentral describes it as "hypothetical lncRNA". Lineage: Eukaryota; Fungi; Ascomycota; Eurotiomycetes; Onygenales; Ajellomycetaceae. The record is from RNAcentral.